This 942-nucleotide small RNA is filed under the name Pan troglodytes (chimpanzee). Its description in RNAcentral is "processed transcript". Lineage: Eukaryota; Metazoa; Chordata; Mammalia; Primates; Hominidae. The record is from RNAcentral.
GACGCUGGCAGUCUUGGUUUUCUGCUAGUGCUGCUGCUGCUGGGAGGACGACGGACGGCAGCGGCCAAGCAAGAAGAAAGACGUGGCAGCAAGCGGGAGUCGGGCAUAGUGUCAUCGGUUCGGUAAAGUUUCUGUUCUCUGGGUCCCAGUACUUUGGAGCUUGUCUCAAACUCCACAUACAGAAAGCCACCGACCUUAUUCCGGUAUCCUACACCCAUUCCCCACUCUCAUUACACUCCCACCCCUGGCCCUCAGCGUCGGAGUCAAGAGCAACAGGGACACUCCGUUCUCCUUGUAGGAUUGGUGAAACCGUAAUGAAGAACACCCCUAAACUCCCAUAAUCGAUUUGGGGAUAUUCCCUGCCCAAAAAAUUCCUGGAAAAUUGACUAGUAUUAAGUGUGAGUAAAAGGUGUCCACUUUUUUUUAAGUUUUGAUUUUAGUUUUGUCUUGGAUAGUAUUUGGCAAGAUUUAGCCUAGAAAUUAUGUAGUAUUUAUUACAUAAGAAUCAAAAUUGCUUUGUUACUGGGCUGGUUUCAAAGUUUAGAACUCAUUUCUAUGUAUCAAAAUCGGGUUUUUUUUUUGUUUUUGAUUUUUUUUUUUUAAUUCUUAAAUGGUAAAUAUGCCAUUGUGAAAUGAAAUCUCAACUCCAAAAGUUUACCCUUUUACUAACUGGAGUAAAUGUAUACUUACAAAGUCUUUAGCUGUAGCCAUUAGUAGUAAAGAAUUUGGACCUAGGCUGCGUAAGCAAGCCUUUCCAGGGCCACUAUUUAAUGGCAAACCAGUGAUACUGGUGUUGAUACAAAAUAAGAAAUAAAUUUUCCCUUAGAUAAAGGUUUCUGUGUUUUGACAGUGCCAGUUUAGAAUGGCUAUAAUGCUGCUCUGCCUUCUACAGCUUGCUGCACCACUCUGUAGUUACUCUAUUACCAUACGUUUCUAUCUUUU